Molecule: ribosomal RNA, 492 nt
Filed under: uncultured bacterium
Lineage: Bacteria
Description: partial 16S ribosomal RNA
Rfam family: Bacterial small subunit ribosomal RNA
Source: RNAcentral
AGUGAACGCUGGCGGUAGGCCUAACACAUGCAAGUCGAACGGCAGCACAGUAAGAGCUUGCUCUUACGGGUGGCGAGUGGCGGACGGGUGAGGAAUACAUCGGAAUCUACUUUUUCGUGGGGGAUAACGUAGGGAAACUUACGCUAAUACCGCAUACGACCUACGGGUGAAAGCAGGGGAUCUUCGGACCUUGCGCGAUUGAAUGAGCCGAUGUCGGAUUAGCUAGUUGGCGGGGUAAAGGCCCACCAAGGCGACGAUCCGUAGCUGGUCUGAGAGAAUGAACAGUCACAAUGGAAAGGAGAAAAGGUACAGACGACUAAGGGAGGCCGGAGGAGGGAAUGAACAACAAAGGGAGCAAGGCUGAAGAAGCAAUGCAGGGGGAGUGAAGAAGGGCGUCGGGUAGUAAAACACUUGUAUUAGGAAAGAAUAAAAGUGGGAGAAAAAAUGAAUGUGCGGAAGGUACCGAAGGAGUAAGCAACGGCGAAAUAAGGG